Mus musculus (house mouse) is the source of this 436-nucleotide long non-coding RNA. RefSeq annotates it as predicted gene 15499. Lineage: Eukaryota; Metazoa; Chordata; Mammalia; Rodentia; Muridae. The transcript has 3 exons. The record is from RefSeq and is a predicted model, not a curated record.
UAACUAGGAUGCCUGUGGUCUGAAGAUUCCAGGUGAGACCUUGUGUUUCUUCCCCUCUUCCUCCAAGUCAGUGGUGUCUGCUUCGUGUUCCCUGCAGCUCCGUGUUCCCCCUGCUGGCGAGAGUCAACAGGCCGGGUCAACACUACGUGCACGGCUGGCUUCAGAGUCUAUUUUAUAGUUCGUCGAUUCGCUCAGCUGUCGUUUUCACACUUGAUCAUGAACAGACUCCAUGCAAGGGAAAUCAACUGAAGAUGACUGUCUUUCACAGAACUCAAUAAAGAAGCUAGGAGACACGUGGGCUCCGUAACGCUUUGAGAUGACCUCAGUGUGCCAUGGAACAGCCAGUCACCACUGACUCUGGACACGGAAGGACAAGAAGGAGUUAAGAACACCACUGAAGCUUCUGACUCGGAGAUAACAAAUUAGAAGUUUUUGG